UUCAAACGGGAGGUACCCCUAUUUUUAUUAUUUCAAUGUCAAUUACGUGCUCUUAUGUGCUCUUAUGUGUUCCUAUGUGUUUAUAUUUUUAUAUGCUUUAUUUAUUUGAAUUAAAUAUUCAUUCAAAUUUUCUUAUAUAUGUUUUAAUUAAUUUUUACAAUGAUUCAAGAGGCAUUUAAAUACCUCAAAAAUGUAAUAGAUAGGAUAAUUAGAUUUGUUUUAUUAUAUUUUUCCCUUCUAGAUUGUAGUUAGGCGCUCCCCGAUGUAAUAGAUAGGUUGCGUGUUUAUGUGGCUUAUGUGUUAUGUGUUUUAUCCAUUUUUCUUAGGAUUUUGGCAUCUAGAUAUUAUGUUUACGUGUUAUGUGCUACGUGCUCUUAUGUGUUUAUUUGUUUUAAUUUAUGUUUUAUUUGUUUCACUAUGAAUUGUUGAUGCAUGACGUCACCACACUAGUCCAACGUUAGUUGUGGUUUCUCCCUCCGCUUACUUGCUAGUCCAACGCUAGUAAGGAUUUUUAGAAAUGGGCUAGUCCAACGCUAGACCCUUUAGGUUAUCUUGCGCUAGAUUCAUCUUUGUGUGCUAUUCACUACAUUUUCAUGUAUAUUUUUAUUUUUAGGAUCUUUUCUCAUUUGCAUGAUAUUCCCUAUUAUAUUAUCCCCUACCCGCUAUAGGUGCUAAUCAUGUCAUUUAGAAUUGCAUCCCAUUUAAGCUAGUUCAUUUGCUUGUUCAUGUUAGGAUAAUUAUUUUUCAAACAUGGGAAAUGGGUG
RNAcentral lists this long non-coding RNA (764 nucleotides) under Coffea arabica (coffee). RNAcentral's name for it is "long non-coding RNA (CARA_LNC004391)". Lineage: Eukaryota; Viridiplantae; Streptophyta; Magnoliopsida; Gentianales; Rubiaceae. The record is from RNAcentral.